Molecule: long non-coding RNA, 402 nt
Filed under: Equus caballus (horse)
Lineage: Eukaryota; Metazoa; Chordata; Mammalia; Perissodactyla; Equidae
Description: lncRNA (ENSECAG00000040677.2)
Source: RNAcentral
CCCUAAGCCAGUGACUGGUGUACUGACAAGAAGAGGAAAUUUGGACACAGGCACAUACAGAGAGAAAAUCUUGUGGAAGCUCAGAGAGACGACGGCCACCUACAAGCUGAGGAGAGAGGCCUCUGGAGAAACCAACCUUGUCCACACCUUGAUCUCAGACUUCCAGCUUCCAGACUGUCAGACAAUCACUCUGCUGUGAAGAUUCGUCCUGAGCUAACAUCCAUUGCCAAUGUUCCUCUUUUUGUAUGUGAGCCGCUGCCACAGCAUGGCCACUGAUAGAAGAGUGGUGUGGGUCCACGCCUGGGAACCAAACCUGGGCUGCUGAAGUGGAGCAUGCCAAACUUAACCACCAGGCCACUGGCCAGCCCUAGAUCUUUAUUUUAGAAAGAAAAUUGAGAAAAG